ACGCUCGACACCUACUGGAGGCAGCAGUGGGGAAUAUUGCACAAUGGGGGAAACCCUGAUGCAGCGACGCCGCGUGAGCGAAGAAGUAUUUCGGUAUGUAAAGCUCUAUCAGCAGGGAAGAAACUGACGGUACCUGACUAAGAAGCACCGGCUAAAUACGUGCCAGCAGCCACGGUAAUCUGAGCGGGCUGGCAAGGC
Molecule: ribosomal RNA, 198 nt
Filed under: uncultured bacterium
Lineage: Bacteria
Description: partial 16S ribosomal RNA
Rfam family: Bacterial small subunit ribosomal RNA
Source: RNAcentral